Molecule: ribosomal RNA, 2504 nt
Filed under: Escherichia coli
Lineage: Bacteria; Pseudomonadati; Pseudomonadota; Gammaproteobacteria; Enterobacterales; Enterobacteriaceae
Description: partial 23S ribosomal RNA
Rfam family: Bacterial large subunit ribosomal RNA
Source: RNAcentral
GGGACACGUGGUAUCCUGUCUGAAUAUGGGGGGACCAUCCUCCAAGGCUAAAUACUCCUGACUGACCGAUAGUGAACCAGUACCGUGAGGGAAAGGCGAAAAGAACCCCGGCGAGGGGAGUGAAAAAGAACCUGAAACCGUGUACGUACAAGCAGUGGGAGCACGCUUAGGCGUGUGACUGCGUACCUUUUGUAUAAUGGGUCAGCGACUUAUAUUCUGUAGCAAGGUUAACCGAAUAGGGGAGCCGAAGGGAAACCGAGUCUUAACUGGGCGUUAAGUUGCAGGGUAUAGACCCGAAACCCGGUGAUCUAGCCAUGGGCAGGUUGAAGGUUGGGUAACACUAACUGGAGGACCGAACCGACUAAUGUUGAAAAAUUAGCGGAUGACUUGUGGCUGGGGGUGAAAGGCCAAUCAAACCGGGAGAUAGCUGGUUCUCCCCGAAAGCUAUUUAGGUAGCGCCUCGUGAAUUCAUCUCCGGGGGUAGAGCACUGUUUCGGCAAGGGGGUCAUCCCGACUUACCAACCCGAUGCAAACUGCGAAUACCGGAGAAUGUUAUCACGGGAGACACACGGCGGGUGCUAACGUCCGUCGUGAAGAGGGAAACAACCCAGACCGCCAGCUAAGGUCCCAAAGUCAUGGUUAAGUGGGAAACGAUGUGGGAAGGCCCAGACAGCCAGGAUGUUGGCUUAGAAGCAGCCAUCAUUUAAAGAAAGCGUAAUAGCUCACUGGUCGAGUCGGCCUGCGCGGAAGAUGUAACGGGGCUAAACCAUGCACCGAAGCUGCGGCAGCGACACUAUGUGUUGUUGGGUAGGGGAGCGUUCUGUAAGCCUGUGAAGGUGUACUGUGAGGUAUGCUGGAGGUAUCAGAAGUGCGAAUGCUGACAUAAGUAACGAUAAAGCGGGUGAAAAGCCCGCUCGCCGGAAGACCAAGGGUUCCUGUCCAACGUUAAUCGGGGCAGGGUGAGUCGACCCCUAAGGCGAGGCCGAAAGGCGUAGUCGAUGGGAAACAGGUUAAUAUUCCUGUACUUGGUGUUACUGCGAAGGGGGGACGGAGAAGGCUAUGUUGGCCGGGCGACGGUUGUCCCGGUUUAAGCGUGUAGGCUGGUUUUCCAGGCAAAUCCGGAAAAUCAAGGCUGAGGCGUGAUGACGAGGCACUACGGUGCUGAAGCAACAAAUGCCCUGCUUCCAGGAAAAGCCUCUAAGCAUCAGGUAACAUCAAAUCGUACCCCAAACCGACACAGGUGGUCAGGUAGAGAAUACCAAGGCGCUUGAGAGAACUCGGGUGAAGGAACUAGGCAAAAUGGUGCCGUAACUUCGGGAGAAGGCACGCUGAUAUGUAGGUGAAGUCCCUCGCGGAUGGAGCUGAAAUCAGUCGAAGAUACCAGCUGGCUGCAACUGUUUAUUAAAAACACAGCACUGUGCAAACACGAAAGUGGACGUAUACGGUGUGACGCCUGCCCGGUGCCGGAAGGUUAAUUGAUGGGGUCAGCGCAAGCGAAGCUCUUGAUCGAAGCCCCGGUAAACGGCGGCCGUAACUAUAACGGUCCUAAGGUAGCGAAAUUCCUUGUCGGGUAAGUUCCGACCUGCACGAAUGGCGUAAUGAUGGCCAGGCUGUCUCCACCCGAGACUCAGUGAAAUUGAACUCGCUGUGAAGAUGCAGUGUACCCGCGGCAAGACGGAAAGACCCCGUGAACCUUUACUAUAGCUUGACACUGAACAUUGAGCCUUGAUGUGUAGGAUAGGUGGGAGGCUUUGAAGUGUGGACGCCAGUCUGCAUGGAGCCGACCUUGAAAUACCACCCUUUAAUGUUUGAUGUUCUAACGUUGACCCGUGAUCCGGGUUGCGGACAGUGUCUGGUGGGUAGUUUGACUGGGGCGGUCUCCUCCUAAAGAGUAACGGAGGAGCACGAAGGUUGGCUAAUCCUGGUCGGACAUCAGGAGGUUAGUGCAAUGGCAUAAGCCAGCUUGACUGCGAGCGUGACGGCGCGAGCAGGUGCGAAAGCAGGUCAUAGUGAUCCGGUGGUUCUGAAUGGAAGGGCCAUCGCUCAACGGAUAAAAGGUACUCCGGGGAUAACAGGCUGAUACCGCCCAAGAGUUCAUAUCGACGGCGGUGUUUGGCACCUCGAUGUCGGCUCAUCACAUCCUGGGGCUGAAGUAGGUCCCAAGGGUAUGGCUGUUCGCCAUUUAAAGUGGUACGCGAGCUGGGUUUAGAACGUCGUGAGACAGUUCGGUCCCUAUCUGCCGUGGGCGCUGGAGAACUGAGGGGGGCUGCUCCUAGUACGAGAGGACCGGAGUGGACGCAUCACUGGUGUUCGGGUUGUCAUGCCAAUGGCACUGCCCGGUAGCUAAAUGCGGAAGAGAUAAGUGCUGAAAGCAUCUAAGCACGAAACUUGCCCCGAGAUGAGUUCUCCCUGACCCUUUAAGGGUCCUGAAGGAACGUUGAAGACGACGACGUUGAUAGGCCGGGUGUGUAAGCGCAGCGAUGCGUUGAGCUAACCGGUACUAA